AAAAGACCUGAUGGAGAACCAUGUGUUGCUGGAUGUGGAGUAACAUCAGUGGAACUCAGUCAAGUGUGGAGCCAUGAAACGUCUUUCUUAUUUCCUGUCUCCUGAGUGCAGGGCACUCUGGGUUAAGGUAUAAAACUAAGAUGGCUACUUGCGGGUCAUGUUUCUGGUGCAUCAUAUGGCUCAUUGUUCUGCUGUUCAUUGGCUGGCCCAUCAGCAUCGCUUUAGGGGGUCUCUACGGCCUCAUCAGCCCCCUCACCACCUGCCUUGGUCUGGACCGACUGUCUGAUUUACUCCUGGAGGGAGCUAAUGUGGGCAGAACCUGUGCCAAUAACAUGAGGCACAGCAAGCCUUUGUGUUGAAAUCCAUCCUGUCUGAUCAGGACCAGAAAAAACAGAGGUCGAAGCCUUCACCUCAGGAAGAACUGUUAAUGUCUGAUUUAUGUGGAGCUAUUCCAGCACGACUGGUGCAUAAUUCCCUGAGAAACCUUCCAGCAACUUAUGUCACAAUAAGGUCCAGAAAGUCCUGGAAAAUUGAUUCCUCUCUCACUGGUAACAUGUAAUUAACUACAGAUUUUAAAUUUGCAUGGGUUUGUCAGGAAGAAAAUAGGCUUGCAGUGCAUGGUCUGUGUUUGCUGUUUAAUUCACGAUGACGCUGCGUGGAGACGAUAAGAACGAAAAUGCCAAUUUAACAAUGAAAAUAUUUAGACUUGGUAAUGUCUGUAUGGAAAUAUAUGGAAAUGCGAUUAAAACUGCUUUGAACUUGC
Astatotilapia calliptera (eastern happy) is the source of this 763-nucleotide long non-coding RNA. The record is from Ensembl. Lineage: Eukaryota; Metazoa; Chordata; Actinopteri; Cichliformes; Cichlidae.